RNAcentral lists this ribosomal RNA (545 nucleotides) under uncultured bacterium. RNAcentral describes it as "bacterial SSU rRNA". It matches the Rfam family "Bacterial small subunit ribosomal RNA", at positions 777 to 1321 of the family's 1533-position model. The record is from RNAcentral.
AAUAGAUACCCUGGUAGUCCACGCCAUAAACGAUGACAACUAGACGUCGGAAGGAUCUGCCUUUCGGUGUCGCAGCUAACGCGUUAAGUUGUCCGCCUGGGGAGUACGGCCGCAAGGUUGAAACUCAAAGAAAUUGACGGGGACCCGCACAAGCGGUGGAGCAUGUGGUUUAAUUCGAUGCAACGCGAAGAACCUUACCUGGUCUUGACAUGUCCGGAAGGCCGCAGAGAUGUGGCUGUGCCCGAAAGGGAACCGGAACACAGGUGCUGCAUGGCUGUCGUCAGCUCGUGUCGUGAGAUGUUGGGUUAAGUCCCGCAACGAGCGCAACCCUUGUCCUUAGUUGCCAGCACUUCGGGUGGGCACUCUAAGGAGACCGCCGGUGACAAACCGGAGGAAGGUGGGGAUGACGUCAAGUCAUCAUGGCCUUUAUGACCAGGGCUACACACGUGCUACAAUGGCCGGUACAAAGGGUCGCCAACCCGUAAGGGGAGCCAAUCCCAUAAAGCCGGUCGUAGUCCGGAUCGGAGUCUGCAACUCGACUCCGU